UACGGGGGGGGCAAGCGUUGUUCGGAAUUACUGGGCGUAAAGGGCUCGUAGGUGGCCAACUAAGUCGGGCGUGAAAUCCCUCGGCUUAACCGGGGAACUGCGUCCGAUACCGGUUGGCUUGAGUUUGGGAGAGGGAUGCGGAAUUCCAGGUGUAGCGGUGAAAUGCGUAGAUAUCUGGAGGAACACCGGUGGCGAAGGCGGCAUCCUGGACCAAUACUGACGCUGAGGAGCGAAAGCCAGGGGAGCAAACGGG
This 253-nucleotide ribosomal RNA is filed under the name uncultured bacterium. RNAcentral describes it as "partial 16S ribosomal RNA". It matches the Rfam family "Bacterial small subunit ribosomal RNA", at positions 524 to 776 of the family's 1533-position model. The record is from RNAcentral.